GGAGGAUGCAAGCGUUAUCCGGAUUCAUUGGGUUUAAAGGGUGCGUAGGCGGAAUAAUAAGUCAGUGGUGAAAGCCUGCGGCUUAACCGUAGAAUUGCCAUUGAUACUGUUAUUCUUGAGUAUAGUUGAGGUGGGCGGAAUGUGUAAUGUAGCGGUGAAAUGCUUAGAUAUUACACAGAACACCAAUUGCGAAGGCAGCUCACUAAGCUGUUACUGACGCUGAGGCACGAAAGCGUGGGGAGCAAACAGGAUUAGAUACCCUGGUAGUCCACGCCGUAAACGAUGAUCACUCGUUGUUGGCGAUACACCGUCAGCGACUGAGCGAAAGCAAUAAGUGAUCCACCUGGGGAGUACGGUCGCAAGACUG
RNAcentral lists this ribosomal RNA (367 nucleotides) under uncultured bacterium. RNAcentral describes it as "bacterial SSU rRNA". It matches the Rfam family "Bacterial small subunit ribosomal RNA", at positions 527 to 896 of the family's 1533-position model. The record is from RNAcentral.